RNAcentral lists this unclassified non-coding RNA (2430 nucleotides) under Ceratitis capitata (Mediterranean fruit fly). Its description in RNAcentral is "phosphatidylinositol 3-kinase regulatory subunit gamma, transcript variant X1". The record is from RNAcentral. Lineage: Eukaryota; Metazoa; Arthropoda; Insecta; Diptera; Tephritidae.
CAACCCUACGUUUUUUUGUUUCUUUUCUUCCAUCGGUUUGCGAUAAAAAAUUUGCAGUAAAAUCACUUUUUCGUUUGCAUGUGGUUUUAGCAAUAUUAACGUUUGGCUAAAUACUAGUAUUAAGUAGAUAUUUUUAUAAAAUGUCAAAUUCUUGGCUAAAGCGUAAAAAUUGCAUUGUCCUAUAAUAAGGCUAAGCCUUUACGAACAAACAUAAGUCGAAAAUCAGGUUUACACUGUAUAUGAGUGCGCGUGUAUGCUGCUGAACAUCAUAAUCCGCCGCUGAAGUGAAGACGUCUCUUUUAAUCAAAUUUCGCUUUUCUGUGAAUGAGAAUGAAGAUAAUUAAAACUAAAUACGAAACGUUAAGGAGCAGUGUACGUUAAAACCAGCAAACAAAAAAAAGAAGAAAAAUUGGCGAACAAAAAAAUUUCUAAAUAAAGAUAUUAUAUUUUCUGUGAUUUUCCUGCGUUUCACGACAACAGGAAGAAAAAUGUAUCCUUCUCCGUUGCAUUAUUCUACUAUGCGGCCGCAAGCACCUAGUGCUGCUCAGCAACAACACGAUCACAAUGCAGAAGAACUAAGCAAAGCAGAAUGGUAUUGGGGAGAAAUCUCUCGGGAAGAAGUAAAAAAUAUCUUAUCUGGUCAACCGGAUGGUAGCUUUCUUGUGCGAGAUGCCUUAAACAAAAACGGCGAAUAUACCCUAACAUUAAUAAAAGAUGGAACGGAGAAGCUAAUAAAAAUUUGUCAUUUGAAUGGAAAGUAUGGUUUCACAGAUUGUAAAUUUAAUUCAGUAGUAGAAUUGAUUAACUACUAUCGAAUAAAUUCAUUAAAGCUUUAUAACAAAAUGCUUGACAUAACGUUAAGCAAUCCAAUAGUGAAACCAGCGGAAGAAGACGAUCACAGCGAUUUACGUUUUCUUGCCGAUAAGUUUCUCGGUCUGCAUCAUACGUUGAACAAGCAGCAGUACCUAUUAGAUCAAAAAAUGAAAGUAUUUAAAAACGUUGAAGCAGAGUUAAAUGAGAAGAAACAGGAUCAAGAAGUUUUCUUGAAAGCGGAAAAAAUGUUCAAAAACCAAAUCAAGCUAUUGGAAUCGUAUAUUUGUACUGCAGAGCAACCGCAAGUAGGCACAGCUGGUGUAAUAAAUACAAAUGGUGGCGCCAGUGGGGGAAAUGGAAAUUUCGUAGUCCAUCAACAGGAUAAGGAAAAAAUUCUAGCCAAUGCUGGGUUACUUAAAAAGAAACUACAAUCAAUUUGUUCUGAAAUGGGAAAAUUAAACCGCUAUGUCGAAGAUAAAAAAGAAGAAUAUAAACGGCUGGAACGACAAAUCAAUGCAGCGAAACCAGAGUUACAGGAUUUAAGCGCUGAAAAGGAAUUGAUUACAGAACGUCUUAUGGGCGCUGGUAUAAAAGAAGAAGAUAUCACUCAACUCGCCGAAAUGGGUUUCGAAGCUUGGCAAAAAAGAUAUGAGAGUCGGACAAAUCAACCGCAUAAUAACGACUCAUUGUGGUUCCUUCGUGAUUGUUUACGCCAAGAGGCCGAAGAAUUAUUGAAGGGUGCACCCACUGGUACAUUUCUCAUUCGGGCUCGUUCUGCUGGUCAUUACGCCCUUUCCAUUGCCUGCAAGAAUGUUGUUAACCAUUGUAUUAUAUAUGAAACGGAAAGUGGUUUCGGCUUUGCUGCUCCUUAUAAUAUCUACGUUUCCUUGAAUAAAUUGGUAGAACAUUACGCUACUAAUUCACUUGAAGAACAUAACGAUACCCUGACUACAACGUUGCGAAUACCAGUGAAGCAUUGGCAUGCCAAUAAGGAUUUGAUUUUGAAACAACUGGAAGAUGAAGAGCUAGAAUUGGAACAGUUACGCUUAGAAGAUCAGCAACAUGAACUAUUGCCAUCUACUUAUGCCAUUUCAAUACCAGGUAGUGAUGCAUUGGAUGUACAAACACCGCCUUCUUCCCUGCCAUCAUCUUUUCCAAGCGGAAGUUUCGGGGGCGGCGCUGCAGGCAGUAAUCAAAAUCAUGCUCAACCACAGUAGUAAACAUUAGUUAUCGAAUUUUAACAGUGUUAAAAGUUAUCAACACAAGGUCACUUUUCAAAGAGCUUCCACUGGUAGCCAUAGGGCCGCAAACAAUUUAAAUACAAAAACCAGUUAAAUUUAAGUGCUGUAAAUAGAACUGUUACUUUUGGGCACAGCAUUUGUGAUGGGAUGAUGUUGCAAUUUUAUUGCAUGUCUUAGAUUGAACAAACAUGACAAUGGCUGUGAUAAUCCCAGCAUGAUACAAGUUUGAUAGCAAAUUGAAUUUGAACAAUACCACCUUAAUUCUAUAGAAAUUAAGAGCAGCCGUUGUCAUGGUGGGUGUGUCUUACAGUGAUCAUCGAAUUAUAGAAAUUAUUAUGCAGCAGUAAUUGUGAACAAACUUUAUUAAAGGGAUGAU